This 776-nucleotide ribosomal RNA is filed under the name Dictyonema schenckianum. RNAcentral's name for it is "eukaryotic LSU rRNA". The stretch from base 263 to 416 matches the Rfam family "5.8S ribosomal RNA". The record is from RNAcentral. Lineage: Eukaryota; Fungi; Basidiomycota; Agaricomycetes; Agaricales; Hygrophoraceae.
GGAAGUAAAAGUCGUAACAAGGUUUCCGUAGGUGAACCUGCGGAAGGAUCAUUAACGAACUCUCGAAGGUCGCAGUUGCUGCUGGGCUUCUCAGAAGUCAUCGUGCACACGGCGACUCUUCUUGUUCAGCCURUCUACCCCCUAUCUGUGCACCCCUUGUAGGUCGAGAACUUUCUCGGCCUAUGCUUUCUCACAAAGCCUCCCGAUCUCUCGAUGAAUGGCAAUCGUUCGAGCCCUGUCUCGACAUAUAAACAGUCAGCACAACUUUCAACAACGGAUCUCUUGGCUCUCGCAUCGAUGAAGAACGCAGCGAAAUGCGAUAAGUAAUGUGAAUUGCAGAAUUCAGUGAAUCAUCGAAUCUUUGAACGCACCUUGCGCCCCUUGGUAUUCCGAAGGGCAUGCCUGUUUGAGUGUCAUCGAACCAUCAACCCGAGAGUGGCUUUCAAAGUCUCUUCAUCGGUGUUUGGAGUUUGCGGUGUUGCGGGAAGCUCUCAGGAGCUCCCUGCUCCUCGCGGAAUGCAUCAGCGGACGUCCACCUGCGGUCCAGCUUUGGCGUGAUAACUGUCUACGUCUCGGUCUGGAUUGCUUUCAUCGGGCGCCGCUUCCAACCUUUUGCCGUCCUUGCGGGGAUGGGCUUACCGACGAUUUGACCUCAAAUCAGGCAGGAUUACCCGCUGAACUUAAGCAUAUCAAUAAGCGGAGGAAAAGAAACUAACAAGGAUUCCCCUAGUAACUGCGAGUGAAGCGGGAAAAGCUCAAAUUUAAAAUCUGGCGGU